RNAcentral lists this long non-coding RNA (1269 nucleotides) under Helianthus annuus (common sunflower). RNAcentral's name for it is "hypothetical non coding rna". Lineage: Eukaryota; Viridiplantae; Streptophyta; Magnoliopsida; Asterales; Asteraceae. The record is from RNAcentral.
AUGCAGAAAUACUUCUUUAGGGCCGGGAUUUAUAGAAAACGAUAGAAAGUGUGAGAGCGGUGAGAACGCUUAACGAUCGUCCGAUCAAAACAAUCUAUGGACUAGAUUGGCGCGGUGGCGUUUUCGUAAAUAACAUCAAUUUUAUUACGUGGACGCGCUUCAUUAAGGGUAAAAUGGUCUUUUGACUACUCCACACAAAACGCCAUCUCAUGAAACAAAACGCCAAAAAACAAAAAUCACAGACCACUCUGAGUAAAACGCCAUUAAAUAUAAAACACCAAACUUAAUUAUAGUAAAAUCCCGCCUAAAAAAACCCCCCAAAAAAUCCUAUAUAUACGACAUCUCAGACCUUCAGUUAAAAACACACACAAAAACCCAAACGCCAUAUUUCAUAUAACCCAUUCGCAUUAGAAACGCCAAAAAACCCAAACAUCAAAUAUCUUCAACCCCAAAAAAGUUUUUUUUUGAAAUUCAGUUUGGCUGUCAGUAAGAUUUCGCUCAAUGAAAUAGACAAAAUCCUUAAGUGAGGAUAUAGUACAUUUCAUUGAGUAAAAUCUCAUUGACUUAUCCUAAACUUCCAUCAAAUUUAUAACGCCGAAACAUACAAAAACAUUAUUGAGGUUUGUUUUCAAUAAAGUUUAGCUGUAUGUGGUGGACAACAUUGUCAGUUAUCUUUCUUAACCGAGGAUUAACAAUGUUGUCAAUAUCAUACAGCAAAACAUUAUUGAUUUUAGCAUGAUUAAAAUUUGAGGUUUAAGGUGAUCUUAUUUCGUGGCGUUCUUUUUAUCGGUAAAACGUCAAAAAAGAUAAAAAAUCAAACAUCGUUGAUUGUAAAAAUUCAAGAUUGUUGGCUGAAGGAUAUAAACUCAAUAACAUUUUGCUGCAUGAGAUGGACAAAUCUUCAAGAAAAAGAUGCUGAUGUCAGACUGUGUGCUUCCAAACAGCAACACAAAAAACUACUUGAAAAACAAAAAAUACAAAAUGAAUCAUACGAAAGUCGAACCAGCCAGUUAACAUGAUUCAAAAAGAGAAGAAAGAGACUAGAGACAGAGAAGAUUUGGAAGAUCAAUUGUUUAUGUAUUCUUUUUUUUUAUUUUCCUUUUCACAUAAUUGUUAUAUAAUAAAAACACCAUAUAUAAUAAAAACGCCAAAAUAGCCAAAAUGCUUGUUUAAACGAUAUCAUCCAGUUAACCGCCACCAAAAAACUCCCAAACUAUAAUAAAAUUACUUUGAAAUUAUUAUAAAAAACCCAAAAAAAAUUUUAAAAAA